GACUUUGUGGCACAAUCGGUUAGGGCGUUCGUCUGUUAACCGAAAAGCUCGUGGUUUGAGCCCACCCAGGGACG
RNAcentral lists this transfer RNA (74 nucleotides) under Bos taurus (domestic cattle). It matches the Rfam family "tRNA". From Rfam's summary of the family: Transfer RNA (tRNA) molecules are approximately 80 nucleotides in length. The record is from Rfam by way of RNAcentral. Lineage: Eukaryota; Metazoa; Chordata; Mammalia; Artiodactyla; Bovidae. RNAcentral also lists the same sequence under 1 other name.